Long non-coding RNA from Malaclemys terrapin pileata, 245 nucleotides. RefSeq lists it as uncharacterized. The record is from RefSeq and is a predicted model, not a curated record. The transcript is spliced from 2 exons. NCBI's taxonomy places the organism in Eukaryota, Metazoa, Chordata, Testudines, Emydidae.
GUGACCUGAUGAAAGAAGGAGUUUCUCUCAAGAGAAGCUGGAGAAAUGUUGUUUAUUCCCAAAUUCUUCACUGCAUAAAGGACUGAAAACGGGCCAGACGGUUUAGUGCCUAAAGAAGCAAGAGAGUGAAAACUGAUAGUUCAACCGCAACUGUUUUACAGACUUCCUGGUUGCUGUGAAAAGCUUGAAAAUGUGACCCCUAAAUGCACCAGUUCCAGAACAUAAAUAAAAAGAACCGAAAUUUA